UACGUAGGGUGCAAGCGUUAAUCGGAAUUACUGGGCGUAAAGCGUGCGCAGGCGGUUUUGUAAGUCUGAUGUGAAAUCCCCGGGCUCAACCUGGGAAUUGCAUUGGAGACUGCAAGGCUAGAAUCUGGCAGAGGGGGGUAGAAUUCCACGUGUAGCAGUGAAAUACGUAGAGAUGUGGAGGAACACCGAUGGCGAAGGCAGCCCCCUGGGUCAAGAUUGACGCUCAUGCACGAAAGCGUGGGGAGCAAACAGG
This 253-nucleotide ribosomal RNA is filed under the name uncultured bacterium. Its description in RNAcentral is "partial 16S ribosomal RNA". It matches the Rfam family "Bacterial small subunit ribosomal RNA", at positions 524 to 776 of the family's 1533-position model. The record is from RNAcentral.